GCAUUCCAAUGCAAUCUAAAGAAUGCCCACCAUGUCCGAGGCUCUGUGAGGGCCAGAAUAUGAGCUGUGCUGGAGAAACGGUUACAAACACACAAGGAGAUGGCAAAUGAAAACUUCUGCCAAACUCAGGAAGCCAGCUGAGGAUGAAAAACAGCAAUACACAGACCAAGGCCAUAUUGAAUGAACAACUUUACGCUUUCACAACACUCCAAACAAGUUAGUUAAUGUUGGAAAACCCAGCCCAAGAAAUUCAAGCUGCUACUAUGAUGUAUUUUAUAGGUUGAUGUCCUGCAGGUCAGGACAACUGGUGCCCAAAGUGAGGCUGGAUAGAGUUGGGGAUCUGGGAACUUCAGUGCUCAUUAGAGGGACGGCCUGUCCAUGCAGUGAGGCGUCCAAGACAAGGUCUAUUGUGAGCCUCGGUUGGAGGAAGACCCAGCAGCCUGCCCAGCACUUGGGACUUUCGGUUCAUGAGCACCAACUACAUGGAAAAGUGAGUAGGGAAAGGCCAAGACAGCUAGAAGAGCUUGCUCAAGCUGGAACUACUGAUUCUACUCAGGAGAGAGGCUUGAUUGAAGGGCCAACAGGCCCUCAGCCAAUCAUCUCACUGUACCCUCUCCACCCAGAACAUGUGCCUUCCAGGGAAGCAUGCAUAUAUGACCAGUUAGAAGGUCCAGAUGCACCACCUUACUCUAAUGGUAUU
RNAcentral lists this long non-coding RNA (700 nucleotides) under Cricetulus griseus (Chinese hamster). RNAcentral's name for it is "lncRNA (ENSCGRG00015040312.1)". The record is from RNAcentral. Lineage: Eukaryota; Metazoa; Chordata; Mammalia; Rodentia; Cricetidae.